Molecule: transfer RNA, 57 nt
Filed under: Ovis aries (sheep)
Lineage: Eukaryota; Metazoa; Chordata; Mammalia; Artiodactyla; Bovidae
Rfam family: tRNA
About the family: Transfer RNA (tRNA) molecules are approximately 80 nucleotides in length.
Source: Rfam by way of RNAcentral
UGGCUCAGAUGGUAAAGAAUCUGCCUGCAAUGCAGGAAACCCGGGUUCGAUCCCCGG